Molecule: ribosomal RNA, 2849 nt
Filed under: Bacteroides sp. Marseille-P3684
Lineage: Bacteria; Pseudomonadati; Bacteroidota; Bacteroidia; Bacteroidales; Bacteroidaceae
Description: bacterial LSU rRNA
Rfam family: Bacterial large subunit ribosomal RNA
Source: RNAcentral
AUAAGGGCACAUGGUGGAUGCCUAGGCUCUCGGAGGCGAUGAAGGACGUGAUAAGCUGCGAAAAGCCGCGGUGAGGUGCAAAUGACCUUUGACCCGCGGAUCUCCGAAUGGGACAACCCGGUGUCCUGAAGGGACAUCAUCUGUCAAUGACAGAGGCUAACGCAGGGAACUGAAACAUCUUAGUACCUGCAGGAAAAGAAAAUAAGAAUGAUUCCCCCAGUAGUGGCGAGCGAACGGGGAAGAGCCCAAACCGCGGGUGUUACGGCAUCCGCGGGGUUGUAGGACCACGAGAUUGCAAGACAAAGGCGAGGGGAAGGCGCUGGAAAGCGCCGCCAUAGAGCAUGAAAGCUGCGUACCCGAAACCGAUGGAAGCAUAGUGGUAUCCUGAGUAUCGCGGGACACGAGGAAUCCUGCGAGAAUCCGCCGGGACCAUCCGGCAAGGCUAAAUACUCCCGAGAGACCGAUAGUGAACCAGUACCGUGAGGGAAAGGUGAAAAGUACCCCGCACAGGGGAGUGAAACAGACCCUGAACCCAUGUGCCUACAAGCGGUCGGAGCACCGAAAGGUGUGACGGCGUGCCUUUUGCAUAAUGAACCUACGAGUUGCCGUUGCCGGCAAGGUUAAGCGCGAGAACGCGCGUAGGGCGUCCAGUCGGCAGUGGCAGACGCGAAACCAAGUGAUCUACCCUUGUCCAGGAUGAAGUCUGGGUAACACCAGAUGGAGGUCCGCACCAAUAAGCGUUGAAAAGCUUCUGGAUGAGAUGAGGGUAGGGGUGAAAGGCUAAUCAAACUUGGAGAUAGCUCGUACUCCCCGAAAUGCAUUUAGGUGCAGCCUGCGUGAUUACCGGCAUGAGGUAGAGCGACUGAUAAGAUGCGAGGGCUUCGCCGCCUAUCAAGUCUUGACAAACUCCGAAUGCUUGCCGGUUUGACACGUGGAGUGAGGGGCCGGGUGCUAAGGUCCGGUCCCGAGAGGAGAAGAAUCCUGACCAUCGUCUAAGGUCCCGAAAUGACGGCUGAGUUAGUCAAACGAAGUAGGAUUGCCGUGACAGCUAGGAUGUUGGCUUGGAAGCAGCCAUUCAUUUAAAGAGUGCGUAACAGCUCACUAGUCGAGGAAUCCUGCGUGGAUAAUAAUCGGGUAUAAGCCGUCUGCCGAAGACGUGGAAUCUCUAGAGAGAUUGGUAGGGGAGCAUUCCAUUCAGCGUUGAAGGCGCACCGCGAGGUGCUCUGGAGCGUAUGGAAAAGCAAAUGUAGGUAUAAGUAACGAUAAAGGGGGUGGGAUGCCCCCUCGCCGUAAGACUAAGGUUUCCUGAUCAACGCUAAUCGGAUCAGGGUAAGUCGGGUCCUAAGGCACAGCCGAACGGCGCAGCCGAUGGAAGAAACGGUUAAGAUUCCGUUACUGCCGCACGGAGUGACGCGGGGACGGAGGAGUGACAGUGCCGCCGCCUGACGGAAUAGGCGGUUGAAGGGUGUAGGCGUUGAUUGCCGCAGGCAAAUCCACGGCAAGAGCCGAACCUGAGAGUAUGGGGCGUUCCCCGGAACAACCCAAUAGUGCACGUAAACAGACUCCCGAGAAAAUCCGCUAAACAUAAUCCGUGUGGCACCCGUACCGCAAACGGACACACGUAGUCGGGUAGAGCAUACCAAGGCGCUUGAGUGAAUCACGGUUAAGGAACUAGGCAAACUGACCCUGUAACUUCGGGAUAAAGGGUCCUCACAGCAAUGUGAGGCGCAGAGAAUCGGUCCAGGCAACUGUUUACCAAAAACACAGGGCUGUGCGAAUUCGCAAGAAGCAGUAUACAGCCUGACACCUGCCCGGUGCCGGAAGGUUAAGAGGAGAUGUCACCGCAAGGGAAGCAUUGAAUUGAAGCCCCGGUAAACGGCGGCCGUAACUAUAACGGUCCUAAGGUAGCGAAAUUCCUUGUCGGGUAAGUUCCGACCUGCACGAAUGGUGUAAUGAUCUGGACGCUGUCUCAACCGUGAGCUCAGUGAAAUUGUAGUAUCGGUGAAGAUGCCGAUUACCCGCGAUGGGACGAAAAGACCCCGUGAACCUUUACUAUAGCUUAGCAUUGGGGCCGGGCACGUGAUGUGUAGGAUAGGUCGGAGGCUAUGAAUCUGUGACGCCAGUCAUGGUGGAGCCGCUGUUGAAAUACGACCCUUCAUUUGUCUGGUCCCUAACGCGCAGCGCGCGGACAUUGCUUGGUGGGUAGUUUGACUGGGGUGGUCGCCUCCAAAAGCGUAACGGAGGCUUCUAAAGGUGCCCUCAGGACGAUCGGUAACCGUCCGCAGAGUGUAAUGGCAUAAGGGCGCUUGACUGUGAGACAGACAGGUCGAGCAGGUAGGAAACUAGAGCAUAGUGAUCCGGUGUUUCCGUAUGGAAGGGACAUCGCUCAAAGGAUAAAAGGUACUCCGGGGAUAACAGGCUGAUCCCUCCCAAGAGCUCAUAUCGACGGAGUGGUUUGGCACCUCGAUGUCGGCUCGUCACAUCCUGGGGCUGGAGAAGGUCCCAAGGGUUGGGCUGUUCGCCCAUUAAAGUGGCACGCGAGCUGGGUUCAGAACGUCGUGAGACAGUUCGGUCUCUAUCUAUCGUGGGCGCAGGAAAUUUGCGUGGCUCUGACACUAGUACGAGAGGACCGUGUUGGACAGACCUCUGGUCUACCGGUUGUGCCGCCAGGCGCACCGCCGGGUAUCCACGUCUGGAUCGGAUAAGCGCUGAAAGCAUCUAAGUGCGAAGCCGGCCACAAGAUUAGAUUUCCUUACGAGGGUCGUCACAGACGAUGACGUUGAUAGGAUGCAGGUGUAUAGAUGGCGACAUCACAGCCGAGCAUUACUAAUUGCCCGAAACUUCCUUCC